CAGUAAAUUGAAAUUGUUAUAAAAUAUGAGGUUUCUUAUAUGUUGUAAUUGUCUAUAGCCAUGAAGAGUGUAGACAUGGUUCCAACUUAAA
Long non-coding RNA from Telopea speciosissima, 91 nucleotides. RefSeq lists it as uncharacterized. NCBI's taxonomy places the organism in Eukaryota, Viridiplantae, Streptophyta, Magnoliopsida, Proteales, Proteaceae. The record is from RefSeq and is a predicted model, not a curated record. The transcript is spliced from 3 exons.